AGCCAUAUCUGCAAGCUCUUUCACAAUGAUUCUCCAGAGUCACUGAAACAACAGAUCUCUAAGAAAUGAGGCCCUAAUUACAGCCUGAAGGGAAAGGCAAUGUAGAAAGAAAUGGAGAAGUCCAUAUGGUAUAAAUGAUUGCACUUUGCUCCUGGAGGAAAAAAGGAAAUACACUGGACCCCAUGAAAAACAAGCACGGAGAACUCCAACGCAGCCUCAGCAAACAGACUAUUGAGCCUUUCGCUUCAGGUGUGCAUCUCUAGUGCCUCACCCAUUUCAAUCCCUCCCGAAACCUGCUCUGCUUUCUCCGGGUCCACGGA
Alligator sinensis (Chinese alligator) is the source of this 320-nucleotide long non-coding RNA. RefSeq lists it as uncharacterized. Lineage: Eukaryota; Metazoa; Chordata; Crocodylia; Alligatoridae. The record is from RefSeq and is a predicted model, not a curated record. The transcript is spliced from 3 exons.